Molecule: ribosomal RNA, 1121 nt
Filed under: uncultured soil eukaryote
Lineage: Eukaryota
Description: partial small subunit ribosomal RNA
Rfam family: Eukaryotic small subunit ribosomal RNA
Source: RNAcentral
UAUGCUUAUCUAAAGGAUUAAGCCAUGCAAAGGUAAGAAAAUCAUCUAGAAUGUGGUUUUCGUUUUAAGGCUCCUUAAAUCAGUUAUUGUUUAUUUGAAUGUGGAAUCUGGAAAAAGGUUCAAUCUAUGUGGAUAACUGUGGGAAAACUAUAGAUAAUACAUGCAAAAAGGGGAAACUGAGGCAACUUGGAAUCCCUGCAUUAUCUAGAAAUUUAUCAAGAGGUGUACAAAACUUCUGAUGAUGAAACACAGUUUACUAAAUAGCAGAUCGAUAGCAAUAUCGACGCUUCAUUCAAAUUUCUGCUUUAUCAACUGUCGAUGGUAAGUUAUUGGCUUACCAUGGUUAUCACGAGUAAGGAAUUCGAUGGGAAUGAUUCCUGAGAUUUCGCCUGAGAGAUGGCGAAAAUUUCUAAGGAAAGCAGCAGGCGCGCAAAUUACCCAAUAUUGAGACAAUGAGGUAGUGACAAGACAUAACGACAGGAUUUAGGGUGCAGGAUAAUAUCUUGCACUCAACCUGAUUGCAAUGAGUACAAUUUAAAAAGAUUAAUUAGAAUCAAUUUGAGGGCAAGCUCUGGUGCCAGCAGCCGCGGUAACUCCAGCUCAAAUGGUGUAUAUUAAAAUUGUUGUAAUUAAAAAGUUUGUAGUUUGAAUUUGGAAUUCUGGAUUUAUUGAAUGAUCACAAUGUAAAUAUUGUGGUUAUUUGUUCAGAUUUUCAUUAAUGGAACAAGGAAUACUCAAUAUUCUGAAAGGAAUAUUGGGUAAUUUAAUUCUUUGUUCAUUUUACCAUAAAUAAAAUAGAGUGUUUAAAGCAUGACAUUUUUGUCAAUUGAAUAAUUUAGUAUGGGAUAAUAGAAGACGAGAGAAAAAAGAGUGUACAUCUUACAUUCAUGUCAAAGUGAAUGGUCUUUUUUCUCUAAUGAUUAAUAGGGACAAUUGGGGCAAUUUGUAUUUCUACUCGAGCGGUGAAAUGCAUAGACAGUAGAAAGACAAACUAAUGCGAAAGCAUCUUGCAAAGGUGUUUUCAUUAAUCAAGAACGAAAGUUUGGGGAUCGAAGAUGAUCAGAUACCAUUGUAGUCCAAUUUUUUCUUUACCAUAAAAAAUGACAACAAAGGGUGAGGGA